CUUCUGGAAGGGUAAGAGCAAGAGCAGUGUACAGUCUGGUCUAAGAAUGUCAAAUUCAGAAACUAUGCAACUUCAAUGUGAAGAGAAGAAAAUCAGAGAGCUGGGGCAAAGACCUCGUAAAGAGCCAACGAACAGAAGAAGAAAAGAAUCGACCCCAAGCUGAAGAACUGUUAUCCCUCUGCAGUACAUGGGGGUUUGAGCUCACGUCAAUGUGCCUGACCUAAGGGCAAAUGGAGCUAAGCAGGAGGGAGAAUUAGACACUUGCCACGGCUUGGAGACAGGGUCUACUGCUCUCUGCUGAACCAGAGGAAAGAACACACUGGCUCCUGAACCUUCGCAGGAAGACAAGGCGAGGGCUGCUGGGUGCCCGUCGCUGCUCACAGCACAGAACGUCCCACUCCUCAGACUCUUUGUCCCCGUCCUAAGACUGUCCUUCACUUGGUCCAUCCAAUCCAAAAUAUGGGCAUACGAAACACACCUCAUCCUUCACACACACAACAUGCUCAACCUUCACUAGCCACGUGACUUUCUUUCUCACAUCAUCCUGAAUUUGCUUUUCUGAAAUUUACUUUUCAAUCUUCUGACUUUUCUUCAUACCUAAGAAGACUGGACAAAGUGCUUGAAAAGCAAAUGGAAACAUUUUAUGAAUAACUACGCAAAGGAAAGACAUAUAAAUAUUUUUAAAGGCAGUUUCCCUUCUACAGAAAUGAGCUUAAGUCAACACUACAGUUGCCACUAAGUGUAAGGAUUCGUGAAGGGGAAAACGACGGACUCCCUUCCCUCUGUUCUUCUCAAGUAAUGCAAGAAGAGACGGGGGCGGGGAGAGAAGAGGAAUGCUGAAAGGGCAUUAUGCUUUUGCUAUUUAGUAAAAGAAGUAUCAACAUGCCUUCUGAUGACUCCUGAACAUCCCUUACAAAUGAAGGAGCCACAGAGUGGGGCAACUCCAUGCCUUUAUCACUCAGCCAGCCAAGGAAGAGGAAGACAAUCAAGCCACACUUGACAAGGGACAGCCUGCAGACAGAACUUGAUGUGUCCAAGGAUUUAGAACUUCUGAUAACAACUACAGACCCUCGAGGGCUGUGGCACGGAGGCUAGAAAUCGGGAUAUCUGCUUCCCAUCCUCAGUUAGCAUACCUCCGUUUUAUAAUGUAAAAAAAAAAGG
RNAcentral lists this long non-coding RNA (1161 nucleotides) under Homo sapiens (human). RNAcentral describes it as "long non-coding RNA NONHSAT156699.1". Lineage: Eukaryota; Metazoa; Chordata; Mammalia; Primates; Hominidae. The record is from RNAcentral.